RNAcentral lists this ribosomal RNA (498 nucleotides) under uncultured bacterium. RNAcentral describes it as "bacterial SSU rRNA". It matches the Rfam family "Bacterial small subunit ribosomal RNA", at positions 40 to 507 of the family's 1533-position model. The record is from RNAcentral.
CGGCGUGCUUAACACAUGCAAGUCGAACGAGACGAAUUAGAAGCUUGCUUUUAUUGAGUCGAGUGGCAAACGGGUGAGUAACGCGUAGACAACCUGCCGCAAAGAUGGGGACAACAGUCCGAAAGGACUGCUAAUACCGAAUGUUGUAUCUCCUCCGCAUGGAAGAGAUAUUAAAGAUGGCCUCUACUUGUAAGCUAUCGCUUUGCGAUGGGUCUGCGUCUGAUUAGCUAGUUGGUGGGGCAACGGCCUACCAAGGCGACGAUCAGUAGCCGGUCUGAGAGGAUGAACGGCCACAUUGGAACUGAGACACGGUCCAGACUCCUACGGGAGGCAGCAGUGGGGAAUCUUCCGCAAUGGGCGAAAGCCUGACGGAGCAACGCCGCGUGAGUGAAGAAGGUCUUCGGAUCGUAAAGCUCUGUUGUCGGGGACGAAUGUUGAGGCCUAGAACAUAGGUUUCAAAUGACGGUACCUGACGAGGAAGCCACGGCUAACUACGUG